RNAcentral lists this microRNA precursor (108 nucleotides) under Marmota monax (woodchuck). Lineage: Eukaryota; Metazoa; Chordata; Mammalia; Rodentia; Sciuridae. The record is from RNAcentral.
UAUUAUUAUUAUUAUUUCCCUCUUUUUACAGGUAAGGCUUAAAGGUCAAGUAACUGUGAGCACUGGGUCAGUUGCUUGACCUUUAAGCCUUACCUGUAAAAAGAGGGA